RNAcentral lists this unclassified non-coding RNA (395 nucleotides) under soil metagenome. RNAcentral describes it as "partial contains 5.8S ribosomal RNA, internal transcribed spacer 2, and large subunit ribosomal RNA". The stretch from base 1 to 122 matches the Rfam family "5.8S ribosomal RNA", at positions 35 to 154 of the family's 154-position model. The record is from RNAcentral.
GAUGAAGAACGUAGCGAAAUGCGAUACUUGGUGUGAAUUGCAGAAUCCCGUGAACUAUCGAGUCUUUGAACGCAAGUUGCGCCCGAAGCCAUCAGGUUGAGGGCACGUCUGCCUGGGCGUCACAUAUCGUUGCCCAAUGCCUAUUGCAGUGCAAUAGGAAUUUCUAGGGCGAAUGAUGGCUUCCCGUGAGCGUUGUUGCCUCGCGGUUGGUUGAAAAUCGAGUCCUUGGUAGGGUGUGCCAUGGUAGAUGGUGGUCGAGUUAGAACGAUACCGAUCAUGUGCAUGCUCCCCGAAAUAUGGCCUCUAUGACCCACACGCGUCUUUUGACGCUCAUGACGAGACCUCAGGUCAGGCGGGGCUACCCGCUGAAUUUAAGCAUAUCAAUAAGCGGAGGA